GUCAUGAUGUUGUCAACGGUGUGGCUGAGGCAGAAGGUGUAACCAAAUAUGAUGCAGGUGAAGCUGCUGCAGAUCAGAAAGAGCAAAAAGGUUCAACAACCAUGAAAUCCUAGCUGAGGACGUGCGAGACUGGGAUAUAGCCAGUGACCGGGGGCAAGGGCAGCGUGCGCAGGGUGAUCGACGAGGACUACUGUGGCCCGAUGGGAGUCGUGCUCUUCAACUACUCGGAGGCAGACUUCACCGUGAAGCCCCAC
This is a non-coding RNA of Triticum urartu, 254 nucleotides long. Lineage: Eukaryota; Viridiplantae; Streptophyta; Magnoliopsida; Poales; Poaceae. The record is from RefSeq and is a predicted model, not a curated record.